Molecule: long non-coding RNA, 622 nt
Organism: Caretta caretta (loggerhead turtle)
Lineage: Eukaryota; Metazoa; Chordata; Testudines; Cheloniidae
Source: RefSeq, a predicted model, not a curated record
AUAAGAGACUGUAGAGGGACAGUGGAAACCUGGCAUGCUUUCUAAAGAUUGCUGCAGCAGAGGAAAGGAGCCAGACCACAAUGGCACAUAGGAAGAGAAAUGAGAGGAGGCCACAGCAAAGUGAGGUUGAGAGGGAGUAGGUGCUUAAUACACCUACUAAGAACUAAGCUAUCACACACAGUUGUAUUGGCCAGUUCUGCUACUGAAAUCAUUUUGAGAUGACAACUACCAAGGCAGCUCUGCUGGAGUCAACCCAACUGAGCCCUAAUUAAAAGUCACCGAUAAGAAGAAUAUUACGGACAUUUGUUAUACAUCAUCACCAUCUACUGGAAAGGACUCUUCCCCAUCCCAGUUUUAUAAGGAUAAGAAGUGGUGAGAUUUAAUUUCAAAGAUUGCACUUCUAUUUUGGUAAUACAAAUAAGUGUAAGUUAUCUUGCCUUAUGUACACUUUCUAGUGAGAUCUCAACUAACUGCUCAGUAUCUGUGAUAACCACUUGACGACUGUAUUGUUUGUGUGUGCAAUACACACAAUUGGUUGUGUCUGCACUUGAGUGGUGAACUGUUGAUUUUAUACUAAUGUGGUUCUGAGUGAAUUAAUAAAUUGUUGAUUGGUUAAGAAUAA